UGUCGCAACGGGAGAAAAUGGAUGAGAGUGCGACAAAUAUGUUUCGACUCGGCGGUGGUGAAGUAGAUCGGAGAUGAGCCCCGAUUCAUUGCUCGGGAUGAGUUCAACUACCGAUAGGGAUUCGAUCAACGCAAGCUUACUUGGGAAAAAGACAUCUCAACAUUGGAUCCACGACUUUGUGUACAUCUUGAUUCAUUGAACUGUCGAAGAGGACGACAGUAAUCAAAGUUCUCCCAGCUAUGUGCCAAAAUUGGCACCAAAAGAUCGGUUGUCAAGCUCUGUUUCCACAGUAAGAAGACGAGGAAGACGAAGAACGGAGACCGUCCAAGAACGCGAAAGAGUCCUUUGACAGUUCGAUGGUGUUUGAUUCAAGGAUUUCAUACUUGCAAUGCACUCAUACUGAGGAUAGAAGAGGAGAGGAGGAGAGAGAUGACGCUGAAGGUGUACGGUCAUCGGCUGUCGCAGCCGUCGCGGGCGAUUAUAAUCUUCUGCAAGGUCAACGGUAUUGACUUCGAGGAGGUGACGAUUGAUUUCACGACGGGCAAGCAUCGUUUGCCCGAUUUCAAAGAGAUAAACCCAAUGGCAGAAGUUCCAGCAAUUGUUCAUGGAGAUUUAAAGCUCUUUGAGAGUCAUGCCAUUUUGUGCUAUCUUGCUAGUGCAUUUCCAGGAGUUCCGGACCGCUGGUAUCCUGCUGAUAUCAUCUCAAGAGCAAAAUAUACAGUCCAUUUUGGAUUGGCACCAUUCCAACCUACGCCGUGGUGCAUUGAACUACUGUAUCAACAGUGCACUGGGACCUGUACGCAGUCUUCCAUUAAAUCCACAAGCAGCAAUUGAAGAUGAGAAAAUUUUAAGUGCGUCCCUUUCAAAGUUAGAGUCUGUAUGGCUUAAAGGAGAUGCAAAAUUUUUACUGGGAAACCUCCGGCCAUCUGUUGCAGAUCUCAGUCUUGCCUGUGAGAUUAUGCAACUUGAGGUUGUGGAUGAGAAAGAUCGUGAGAGAAUAUUGGGGCCUCACCCGAAGAUAUUGGAAUGGAUCGACAAUGUAAAGUGUGCUACCAGUCCUCAUUUUGAGGAAGUCCAUGAGCAUCUGCAGGAAGUCAAAGGCAAGAAUAGCAUUAUUGAAGUCAGCCUGAAAUCCAACCCGAAACCUUUAAUCCGAUAGAACAGGUGAUCUGAUGCAGCAGUUUAUGUGUAGUAGCUUGCAGUGAUUGUAAUGUAGCACUGAAAUAAUGUGCGCUGUGUGCGUGUUUAUUUUGGAUCUUUGUGGUGUAUUAAGAACAGUUCUUGAAGUUUUCCUAUGUAUCAAACCUUCUAAAUUAAUGAUUAAAACAACUAUUGUAUU
RNA transcript from Musa acuminata AAA Group (dessert banana), 1339 nucleotides. It is a transcript of the gene named glutathione S-transferase T1-like, with no coding region annotated. The record is from RefSeq and is a predicted model, not a curated record. The transcript has 8 exons. NCBI's taxonomy places the organism in Eukaryota, Viridiplantae, Streptophyta, Magnoliopsida, Zingiberales, Musaceae.